AAUCAUGGCUCAGGAUGAACGCUGGCGGCGUGCUUAACACAUGCAAGUCGAACGAAGCACUUUGAUCGAUUUCUUCGGAUUGAAAUUUUAGUGACUGAGUGGCGGACGGGUGAGUAACGCGUGGGUAACCUGCCUCACACAGGGGGAUAACAGUUGGAAACGGCUGCUAAUACCGCAUAAGCGCACAGUACCGCAUGGUACAGUGUGAAAAACUCCGGUGGUGUGAGAUGGACCCGCGUCUGAUUAGCUAGUUGGUAAGGUAACGGCUUACCAAGGCGACGAUCAGUAGCCGACCUGAGAGGGUGAUCGGCCACAUUGGAACUGAGACACGGUCCAAACUCCUACGGGAGGCAGCAGUGGGGAAUAUUGCACAAUGGGCGAAAGCCUGAUGCAGCAACGCCGCGUGAGCGAUGAAGGCCUUCGGGUCGUAAAGCUCUGUCCUCAAGGAAGAUAAUGACGGUACUUGAGGAGGAAGCCCCGGCUAACUACGUG
Molecule: ribosomal RNA, 492 nt
Filed under: uncultured bacterium
Lineage: Bacteria
Description: bacterial SSU rRNA
Rfam family: Bacterial small subunit ribosomal RNA
Source: RNAcentral